RNAcentral lists this ribosomal RNA (441 nucleotides) under uncultured bacterium. RNAcentral's name for it is "partial 16S ribosomal RNA". It matches the Rfam family "Bacterial small subunit ribosomal RNA", at positions 338 to 795 of the family's 1533-position model. The record is from RNAcentral.
CCUACGGGUGGCAGCAGUGGGGAAUAUUGCACAAUGGGGGAAACCCUGAUGCAGCGACGCCGCGUGAGUGAAGAAGUAUUUCUGUAUGUAAAGCUCUAUCAGCAGGGAAGAAAAAAGACGGUACCUGACUAAGCCGCCCCGGCUAACUACGUGCCAGCAGCCUCGGUACUUCGCAGGGGGCACGCGUUAUCCGGAUUUACUGGGUGGAAAGGGAGCGUAGACGGCGAGGCAAGUCUGAAGUGAAAGGGAGGGGCUUAACCCCUGAACUGCUUUUGAAACUGCCAUGCUAGAGUGCUGGAGAGGUAAGUGGAAUUCCUAGUGUAGCGGUGAAAUGCGUAGAUAUUAGGAGGAACACCAGUGGCGAAGGCGGCUUACUGGACAGUAACUGACGUUGAGGCUCGAAAGCGUGGGGAGCAAACAGGAUUAGAUACCCUGGUAGUC